Molecule: non-coding RNA, 77 nt
Organism: Peromyscus californicus insignis
Lineage: Eukaryota; Metazoa; Chordata; Mammalia; Rodentia; Cricetidae
Source: the annotation of a RefSeq genome assembly
UACCAGCUAGCUCAGUUGCUAGAGCAUGAGACUCCUAAUCUCAGGGUUGUGGGUUCAAGUCCCACAUUGGGUGCCAU